Non-coding RNA from Ciona savignyi (Pacific transparent sea squirt), 71 nucleotides. The record is from Rfam. Lineage: Eukaryota; Metazoa; Chordata; Ascidiacea; Phlebobranchia; Cionidae.
GCAUUGGUGGUUCAGUGGUAGAAUCUUUACCAGCCUCGCGGGGGGCCCGGGUUCGAUUCCCGGCCAAUGCA